GAUGAACGACGACAGAAUGCUAACACAUGCACAGUCAACUUGAAUUUGGGAUUUUAACUUAAGUUUGGGCAGCGGAAGGAGUGAGUAACGCGUAAAGAACUUGCCUCACAGCUAGGGACAACAUUUGGAAACGAAUGCUAAUACCUAAUAUUAUGAUAAUAGGGCAUCCUAUAAUUAUGAAAGCUAUAAGCGCUGUGAGAGAGCUUUGCGUCCCAUUAGCUAGUUGGAGAGGUAACGGCUCACCAAGGCGAUGAUGGGUAGCCGGCCUGAGAGGGUGAUCGGCCACAAGGGGACUGAGACACGGCCCUUACUCCUACGGGAGGCAGCAGUGGGGAAUAUUGGACAAUGGACCAAGAGUCUGAUCCAGCAAUUCUGUGUGCACGAUGAAGUUUUUCGGAAUGUAAAGUGCUUUCAGUUGGGAGGAAAGAAAUGACGGUACCAACAGAAGAAGUGACGGCUAAAUACGUGCCAGCAGCCGCGGUAAUACGUAUGUCACGAGCGUUAUCCGGAUUUAUUGGGCGUAAAGCGCGUCUAGGUGGUUAUGUAAGUCUGAUGUGAAAAUGCAGGGCUCAACUCUGUAUUGCGUUGGAAACUGUAUAACUAGAGUACUGGAGAGGUAAGCGGAACUACAAGUGUAGAGGUGAAAUUCGUAGAUAUUUGUAGGAAUGCCGAUGGGGAAGCCAGCUUACUGGACAGAUACUGACGCUGAAGCGCGAAAGCGUGGGUAGCAAACAGG
Molecule: ribosomal RNA, 736 nt
Filed under: uncultured Fusobacterium sp.
Lineage: Bacteria; Fusobacteriati; Fusobacteriota; Fusobacteriia; Fusobacteriales; Fusobacteriaceae
Description: bacterial SSU rRNA
Rfam family: Bacterial small subunit ribosomal RNA
Source: RNAcentral